GACGAACCGUGCGAACGUUAUUCGGAAUCAUUGGGCUUAAAGGGCGCGUAGGCGGCGGUGUAAGUUGGAAGUGAAAUCCCAUCGGCUCAACCGUGGAAUUGCUCCCAGUACUGCAUCGCUCGAGGGGGAUAGGGGUUUGCGGAACUACCGGUGGAGCGGUGAAAUGUGUUGAUAUCGGUGGGACCGCCAGGGGCGAAGCGGCAAACUUGACCCUUCCUGACGCUGAGGCGCGAAAGCUAGGGGAGCAAACGGG
RNAcentral lists this ribosomal RNA (253 nucleotides) under uncultured bacterium. RNAcentral describes it as "partial 16S ribosomal RNA". It matches the Rfam family "Bacterial small subunit ribosomal RNA", at positions 524 to 776 of the family's 1533-position model. The record is from RNAcentral.